RNAcentral lists this ribosomal RNA (450 nucleotides) under uncultured bacterium. RNAcentral describes it as "bacterial SSU rRNA". It matches the Rfam family "Bacterial small subunit ribosomal RNA", at positions 355 to 796 of the family's 1533-position model. The record is from RNAcentral.
UGGGGAAUCUUGGACAAUGGGGGAAACCCUGAUCCAGCGACGCCGCGUGGGUGAUGAAGGCCUUCGGGUCGUAAAGCCCUGUCGGGGGGGAAGAAACUCUUGCCGGUGAACAAUCGGCGAGACCGACGGUACCCCCUAAGGAAGCACCGGCUAACUCCGUGCCAGCAGCCGCGGUAAGACGGAGGGUGCAAGCGUUGUUCGGAAUUACUGGGCGUAAAGGGCGCGUAGGCGGUCUGUUAAGUUCGGUGUGAAAGCCCCCGGCUUACCCGGGGAACUGCGCCGGAAACCGACAGACUAGAGUACCGGAGAGGAGGGUGGAAUUCCUGGUGUAGCGGUGAAAUGCGUAGAUAUCAGGAGGAACACCGGUGGCGAAGGCGGCCCUCUGGACGGAUACUGACGCUGAGGCGCGAAAGCGUGGGGAUCAAACAGGAUUAGAUACCCCCGUAGUCC